AGAGUUUGAUCCUGGCUCAGAACAAACGUUGGCGACGCGUCUUAAGCAUGCAAGUCGAGCGGCAGCAUGGGCUUCGGCCUGAUGGCGAGCGGCGGACUGGUGAGUAACACGUAGAUCAUCUGCCUCACAGACCGGGAUAGCCUCUGGAAACAGGGAUUAAUACCGGAUAUACUGGCAACAGGAAAGUCCCGUUUAGGGCACUGAGAGAAGAGUCUGCGCUCUAUUAGCUAGUUGGCAGGAUAAGAGCCUACCAAGGCGAUGAUAGAUAGCCGGCCUGAGAGGGUGUACGGCCACAUUGGGACUGAGAUACGGCCCAGACUCCUACGGGAGGCAGCAGCUAAGAAUAUUCCGCAAUGGGCGCAAGCCUGACGGAGCGACGUCGCGUGAACGAUGAAGGCCUUCGGGUUGUAAAGUUCUUUCGGCAGGGAAGAAUAAGGCAGGCAGGAAAUGGUUUGCCGAUGACUGUACCUGCAUAAGAAGCCCCGGCUAACUACGUGCCAGCAGCCGCGGUAAUACGUAGGGGGCAAACGUUGUUCGGAAUUAUUGGGCGUAAAGCGCACGUAGGCUGACGUAUAAGUCAGUGGUUAAAUACUCAGGCUCAACCUGAGAGCUGCCACUGAUACUGUAUGUCUGGAGUUGCACAGAGGCAGCAGGAAUUCCUGGUGUAGGGGUGAAAUCUGUAGAUAUCAGGAGGAACACCAAUGGCGAAGGCAAGCUGCUGGGUGACAACUGACGCUGAGGUGCGAAAGCCAGGGGAGCGAACGGGAUUAGAUACCCCGGUAGUCCUGGCCGUAAACGAUGCACGCUAGUUGUUGGAUGUAUGCAAAUAUACUCAGUGACGAAGCUAACGCGUUAAGUGUGCCGCCUGGGGAGUAUGCCCGCAAGGGUGAAACUCAAAGGAAUUGACGGGGGCCCGCACAAGCGGUGGAGCAUGUGGUUCAAUUCGAUGUACGCGAAAAAUCUUACCUGGGUUUAAAUGUCGGUAGACAGCUUCAGAGAUGAAGUCUCCCUUCGGGGCUGCCGGUAUGGUGCUGCAUGGCUGUCGUCAGCUCGUGUCGUGAGAUGUUGGGUUAAGUCCCGCAACGAGCGCAACCCUCACCCUUUGUUGCUAAACCAGGCUACGGUCUGGCAGGACUCUUAGGGAACUGCUCCGGUCAACGGGGAGGAAGGUGGGGAUGACGUCAAGUCCUCAUGGCCCUUAUGCCCAGGGCUACACACGUGCUACAAUGGGAUGUACAAAGGGAUGCUAUACCGCAAGGUGGCGCAAAUCCCAAAAAAACAUCCCCCAGUUCGGAUUGCAGUCUGAAACUCGACUGUAUGAAGGUGGAAUUGCUAGUAAUCGCAGAUCAGAAUGCUGCGGUGAAUACGUUCUCGGGCCUUGUACACACCGCCCGUCACACCACCCGAGCGAAGUUUACCCGAAGUCCCCGC
This 1431-nucleotide ribosomal RNA is filed under the name metagenome. RNAcentral describes it as "bacterial SSU rRNA". It matches the Rfam family "Bacterial small subunit ribosomal RNA". The record is from RNAcentral.